AGUUAUUUUCGGAGAUUUCUGGAGACUUGGCAGUAAAGUUGGCGCCUGUUGAAAACACUUUAUUCCAGCUACUUUGUGGGUUUCAGAGGAUAAGAAGAGGCUACAGCAGAAUACUCAAGAGACAGGAUUCCAAGUGCAGAAAGCCGUGAGUACUGAUCAAGAGAACAUAUCUUUCUGUGUGGAACUCAGGUAAA
Long non-coding RNA from Budorcas taxicolor (takin), 194 nucleotides. RefSeq lists it as uncharacterized. The transcript has 3 exons. NCBI's taxonomy places the organism in Eukaryota, Metazoa, Chordata, Mammalia, Artiodactyla, Bovidae. The record is from RefSeq and is a predicted model, not a curated record.